UAACUUAUUCAUUGAUCUAUAUGGUGAUUAUUAAAUUAAUUUUGUUGUUCCAGUAGUAAGAAUUAAAUUUUUGUUAUAAAUUUUGAAUUAGAAAUUGAAUAAAAUUUAAAGUAGAUUAAUAUUUGUGCCAGCAUUCGCGGUUACACAAUUUACUUAAGUUAAUUUCAUUAUUUUUUUAAUUUAAUUUUUUAUUAGAUUUAAAUGUAAGUUUUAUUUAGGUGGAAUUUAUAAUUUGUUUUAAAAUCUAUAUAAUUUAUUUUAAGAUAAUUUCAUUAAUAAACUAGGAUUAGAUACCCUAUUAUUUUUAUUGUAAAUUUUUUUAGAAUGGUAUAAGUUAUGCUCUUUAAAGCUCAAAGAAUUUGGCGGUAAGAUAUCUAUUUAGAGGAAUCUGUAUAUUAAUUGAUAUUCCACAAUAGUUUAUACCUUUAAUUUUAUUUGUAUACCGCUAUAUUGUAGAUUGUUAUUUAAGUAAACUUUCUUUAAUUAAGUUUAAUUUAAUGUUAGGUCAAGGUGCAGUUUUUAAAAGGUUUAUAUGGAUUACUUUUGUUAUAAGUCUUAGGAUUUUAAUUUUUUUUUAAAUUAAUUUGAAUAAGGAUUUAAUAGUAAGUUUUUAAAUUAAUUAAUUUAACUGAAUAUUGCUAUGUUUUAUGCACAUAUCGCCCGUCACUCCUAGUUAAGUUAGGAUAAGUCGUAACAAAGUAAUUUUACCGGAAGGUGAGGUUAGGAAUAAUCAAUAUUUA
This 740-nucleotide non-coding RNA is filed under the name Nesophrosyne haleakala. Lineage: Eukaryota; Metazoa; Arthropoda; Insecta; Hemiptera; Cicadellidae. The record is from RNAcentral.